UCUCUCUUUUUUCCUUUAGUUUUUCAGUUUUUCUCUAUCUUCUCCAUUAUGAGCAAGACAACGGAUCCUUUCAUAUCUCCUAAAUUUCAGUUUGAUCUCGACCAGUGCCUUCAUAUCUACUUUCUUUUUUUGCACCAAAUCUAAAAUUUUAUCCCUCCUAAGUUCAUCGCCAACAAGUUCUUCGAAUGAUAUGGAUUGUGGCGGUCGAAUUUAAAAUCAAGUCGAGAAGAGAUUGAUACUGGUAAGGUGAUUUUGAAGAGAUUCAGAGAGCUUUAAAAAUUUGUUGCAGGGUUGAUAGCAUACCUCUUGUGGAAUAUAGUGGCAGUAACGUAGCUUGGAUCAAACGAAGAGGUCCCACUAUAUGCUUGAAAUUGUUUUAUGGGUUAAUCAUAGGAAUAUGAAGGGACAACAAGGUUGGACAAAUAGAUUUAAGAAAUCAGACCAUGCAUACUAAUGUAAAUAUUUACCACUUUUCUUUCAGUUGUUUUAUUGUUAUUGAGUUUUUUUGUUUAUCAUAGAUUUAUACAAGGCAAAAGAAAGACAGCUCAUGUUGCAAUCAAAGAACGUGAAGAUGACAUAUUGGUGUUGUUGUUGGGAC
Molecule: long non-coding RNA, 598 nt
Organism: Brassica oleracea var. oleracea
Lineage: Eukaryota; Viridiplantae; Streptophyta; Magnoliopsida; Brassicales; Brassicaceae
Exons: 4
Source: RefSeq, a predicted model, not a curated record